RNAcentral lists this ribosomal RNA (459 nucleotides) under uncultured bacterium. RNAcentral's name for it is "partial 16S ribosomal RNA". It matches the Rfam family "Bacterial small subunit ribosomal RNA", at positions 338 to 795 of the family's 1533-position model. The record is from RNAcentral.
CCUACGGGUGGCAGCAGUGAGGAAUAUUGGUCAAUGGCCGAGAGGCUGAACCAGCCAAGUCGCGUGAGGGAAGAAUGUCCUAAGGAUUGUAAACCUCUUUUGUCGGGGAGCAAAAAGGCUCUGCGGAGUCGUAUUGAGAGUACCUGAAGAAAAAGCAUCGGCUAACUCCGUGCCAGCAGCCGCGGUAAUACGGAGGAUGCGAGCGUUAUCCGGAUUUAUUGGGUUUAAAGGGUGCGCAGGCGGAGGCACAAGUCAGCGGUAAAAUCGCGGGGCUCAACCCCGCUCCGCCGUUGAAACUGUGUCCCUUGAGUGCGCGAAGGGUAGGCGGAAUGCGUGGUGUAGCGGUGAAAUGCAUAGAUAUCACGCAGAACUCCGAUCGCGAAGGCAGCCUACCGGCGCGCAACUGACGCUCAUGCACGAAAGCGUGGGUAUCGAACAGGAUUAGAUACCCCAGUAGUC